CCUACGGGUGGCAGCAGUGGGGAAUAUUGGGCAAUGGGCGCAAGCCUGACCCAGCCACGCCGCGUGAAGGAAGACGGCUUUCGGGUUGUAAACUUCUUUUCUGAGGGACGAAGAAAGUGACGGUACUACAGGAAUAAGCCACGGCUAACUACGUGCCAGCAGCCGCGGUAAUACGUAGGUGGCAAGCGUUAACCGGAUUUAUUGGGUGUAAAGGGCGUGUAGGCGGGAAAGCAAGUCAGAUGUGAAAGCUCAGGGCUCAACCCUGAGACUGCAUUUGAAACUGUUGUGCUUGAGUGCUGGAGAGGCAAGCGGAAUUCCGGGUGUAGCGGUGAAAUGCGUAGAUAUACGGAGGAACACCAGUGGCGAAGGCGGAUUGCUGGACAGUAACUGACGCUGAGGCGCGAAAGCGUGGGGAGCAAACAGGAUUAGAUACCCGAGUAGUC
Molecule: ribosomal RNA, 443 nt
Filed under: uncultured bacterium
Lineage: Bacteria
Description: partial 16S ribosomal RNA
Rfam family: Bacterial small subunit ribosomal RNA
Source: RNAcentral